GGUCCCGCUACUCUGCUUAAGCAAUGACCACUCAAGAGGAAAUACAAGCAGUUCCUGUUCCUCCCACUGUGAUUGUCGACAGUCGGCACCCAUUACGGAGCCAAAUUCCUGCCCACAUGCAGAGGGGAACGAAGAUCUACGGGAUGCUUGUAAAAGGCGGCUGUACGAUGUUCACCCUCAUAUGUGGCCUCAUAUUCCUUCUCUGCGGCGCAUUUACCACGAUUAUGAUCCUGGAUGCAGGCGAUACACAAGCUACACCGACUCUGUGCGUCCUCUUUCUCGUAGCAGUGGGAGGGGAGUGGUUUCAUGACACUAAUCACAGAUUGAUAUGACAGGGUUUCCUGAUCCACUUCUUCGCAAAGGCGAAAAAGAAAGCAUCAAGAGAGUUCAAAUCCCUUCCAGCCGACCACCCCGACCGCCUGAAGUACGGUGUUGAAGCACACCCGACAGACACGUCCACCUCAUCUCCAGUAGCCAGCAUUUAUCACUUCCUCUCCCAAAGAGAAGGAAGUGGUGAUAGCACUGGAGUAGUAGCAAUUAGGACAGCACAGCCAUCUGUUCCGCCCUUGUCCUAUCGGCAAGGAUUUCCCUUAGAGAACUCGUACUUCGCUCCACAGGUGCAUUCUACUGCUCCUCCACCUCUGAGAGAGUACUCACCUCCACGAGUAGAUUAUCCACUCUUCCUUGGACCUUCUGCUCCUCCAAUGCGAGUGACCAAUGAAACUCACUCAAAAUACUUGGAUGACUCUCCACCAUAUUCGGAAAUCGAAAAGCUUGGUUUUAAUUCUUGAUGUAAUAUAUUUGUAUA
This is a non-coding RNA of Penaeus vannamei (Pacific white shrimp), 808 nucleotides long. NCBI's taxonomy places the organism in Eukaryota, Metazoa, Arthropoda, Malacostraca, Decapoda, Penaeidae. The record is from RefSeq and is a predicted model, not a curated record.